Molecule: non-coding RNA, 27 nt
Filed under: Rattus norvegicus (Norway rat)
Lineage: Eukaryota; Metazoa; Chordata; Mammalia; Rodentia; Muridae
Source: RNAcentral
UACAAUGGCCUGAGUGCCUCGCUGUGC